This 406-nucleotide ribosomal RNA is filed under the name uncultured beta proteobacterium. RNAcentral describes it as "bacterial SSU rRNA". It matches the Rfam family "Bacterial small subunit ribosomal RNA", at positions 9 to 418 of the family's 1533-position model. Lineage: Bacteria; Pseudomonadati; Pseudomonadota; Betaproteobacteria. The record is from RNAcentral.
GAGUUUGAUCUUGGCUCAGAUUGAACGCUGGCGGAAUGCUUUACACAUGCAAGUCGAGCGGCAGCGCGGGGCAACCUGGCGGCGAGCGGCGAACGGGUGAGUAAUGCAUCGGAACAUGUCCAUGUCGUGGGGGAUAGCCCGGCGAAAGCCGGAUUAAUACCGCAUACGCCCGAGAGGGGAAAGUGGGGGACCGCAAGGCCUCACGCGAUUGGGUUGGCCGAUGUCCGAUUAGCUAGUUGGUGGGGUAAAGGCUCACCAAGCCGACGAUCUGUAGCUGGUCUGAGAGGACGACCAGCCACACUGGGACUGAGACACGGCCCAGACUCCUACGGGAGGCAGCAGUGGGGAAUUUUGGACAAUGGGCGCAAGCCUGAUCCAGCCAUGCCGCGUGCAGGAUGAAGGCCUU